This 443-nucleotide ribosomal RNA is filed under the name uncultured bacterium. Its description in RNAcentral is "partial 16S ribosomal RNA". It matches the Rfam family "Bacterial small subunit ribosomal RNA", at positions 338 to 795 of the family's 1533-position model. The record is from RNAcentral.
CCUACGGGCGGCAGCAGUGGGGAAUAUUGGGCAAUGGGCGCAAGCCUGACCCAGCAACGCCGCGUGAAGGAAGAAGGCUUUCGGGUUGUAAACUUCUUUUCUCAGGGACGAAGAAAGUGACGGUACCUGAGGAAUAAGCCACGGCUAACUACGUGCCAGCAGCCGCGGCAAUACGUAGGUGGCAAGCGUUAUCCGGAUUUAUUGGGUGUAAAGGGCGUGUAGGCGGGAGCGCAAGUCAGAUGUGAAAACUCAGGGCUCAACCCUGGGCCUGCAUUGGAAACGGUGUUUCUUGAGUGCUGGAGAGGCAAUCGGAAUUCCGUGUGUAGCGGUGAAAUGCGUAGAUAUCACGAAGAACCCCGAUUGCGAAGGCAGCUUACUAAACUGUGACUGACAUUGAGGCUCGAAAGUGUGGGUAUCAAACAGGAUUAGAUACCCCUGUAGUC